AGAGCGAACGCUGGCGGCAGGCCUAACACAUGCAAGUCGAGCGCCCGUAGCAAUACGGGAGCGGCAGACGGGAUAGUAACACGUGGGAACGCGCCCCUCGGUUCGGAAUAACUCAGGGAAACUUGAGCUAAUACCGGAUACGCCCUUACGGGGAAAGAUUUAUUGCCGAAGGAACGGCCCGCGUCCGAUUAGCUAGUUGGUGAGGUAAUGGCUCACCAAGGCGACGAUCGGUAGCUGGUCUGAGAGGAUGACCAGCAUCACUGGGACUGAGACACGGCCCAGACUCCUACGGGAGGCAGCAGUGGGGAAUAUUGGACAAUGGGCGCAAGCCUGAUCCAGCCAUGCCGCGUGGAUGAUGAAGGCCUUAGGGUUGUAAAGUCCUUUUAACGGGGAAGAUAAUGACGGUACCCGUAGAAUAAGCCCCGGCUAACUUCGUGCCAGCAGCCGC
RNAcentral lists this ribosomal RNA (448 nucleotides) under uncultured bacterium. RNAcentral's name for it is "SSU rRNA". It matches the Rfam family "Bacterial small subunit ribosomal RNA", at positions 26 to 518 of the family's 1533-position model. The record is from RNAcentral.